UUGGAGGGCAAGUCUGGUGCCAGCAGCCGCGGUAAUUCCAGCUCCAAUAGCGUAUAUUAAAGUUGUUGCAGUUAAAAAGCUCGUAGUUGAAUUUCGGGAUCAGUAGGUUGGUCAUGCCUAUGGUAUGUACUGGCUUUACUGGUUCCUCCUUCUUGAUGAUCUGUAAUGUCAUUAAUUUGGUGUUGCAGGGAGUCAGGACUGUUACUUUGAAAAAAUUAGAGUGUUUAAAGCAGGCAUACGCUUGAAUACAUUAGCAUGGAAUAAUGAAAUAGGACGUUCGAUCCUAUUUUGUUGGUUUCUAGGAUUGACGUAAUGAUUAAUAGGGAUAGUUGGGGGCAUUAGUAUUCAAUUGUCAGAGGUGAAAUUCUUGGAUUUAUUGAAGACUAACUACUGCGAAAGCAUUUACCAAGGAUGUUUUCAUUAAUCAAGAACGAAAGUUAGGGGAUCGAAGACGAUCAGAUACCGUCGUAGUCUUAACCAUAAACUAUGCCGACUAGGGAUCGGAUGAUGUUAUUUUUAAUGACUCAUUCGGCGCCUUACGGGAAAC
Molecule: ribosomal RNA, 547 nt
Filed under: uncultured Glomus
Lineage: Eukaryota; Fungi; Glomeromycota; Glomeromycetes; Glomerales; Glomeraceae
Description: SSU rRNA
Rfam family: Eukaryotic small subunit ribosomal RNA
Source: RNAcentral